Molecule: ribosomal RNA, 253 nt
Filed under: uncultured bacterium
Lineage: Bacteria
Description: partial 16S ribosomal RNA
Rfam family: Bacterial small subunit ribosomal RNA
Source: RNAcentral
UACGGGGGGGGCAAGCGUUGUUCGGAAUUACUGGGCGUAAAGGGCGCGUAGGCGGCCUGCUAAGUCGGACGUGAAAUCCCCCGGCUCAACCGGGGAACUGCGUCCGAUACUGGUGGGCUCGAAUCCGGGAGAGGGAUGUGGAAUUCCAGGUGUAGCGGUGAAAUGCGUAGAUAUCUGGAGGAACACCGGUGGCGAAGGCGGCAUCCUGGACCGGCAUCGACGCUGAGGCGCGAAAGCCAGGGGAGCAAACGGG